Molecule: ribosomal RNA, 847 nt
Filed under: uncultured archaeon
Lineage: Archaea
Description: bacterial SSU rRNA
Rfam family: Archaeal small subunit ribosomal RNA
Source: RNAcentral
UAGGAUGGGGCGUCAGCCUGCUAGUCGUGCGCGUCCAACCAUGAGGACGAGCGGCAGACCGCUCAGUAACACGUAGCUAACCUAACCUUAGGACGUGGAUAACCCCGGGAAACUGGGGCUAAUCCGCGAUAGGUAUGAAGGCCUGGAAUGGUUUCAUGCCAAAUGGCACAGCAAUCAUGUUUGUUUUGUGCCUAAGGAUGGGGCUGCGGCCGAUCAGGCAGUUGGCGAGGUAACGGCUCACCAAACCUUUGACCGGUACGGGCCAUGAAAGUGGUAGCCCGGAGAUGGGCACUGAGACAGGGGCCCAGGCCCUACGGGGCGCAGCAGGCGCGAAAACUCCACACUGUACGAAAGUACGAUGGGGUUAUCUCGAGUGCAGUCCGAUAAGGGCUGCUUUUCCAUAGAGUAAUAUCCUGUGGGAAUAAGAGGGGGGCAAGACUGGUGUCAGCCGCCGCGGUAACACCAGCCCCUCGAGUGGUGGGGACUUUUAUUUGGCCUAAAGCGUCCGUAGCUGGCUGUAUCCGUCCCCCGUUAAAUCCAGCGUCCUAAACGUUGGACUGCGGGUGAUACCAUACAGCUAGAGGGUGGGAUAGGUGAGCGGUAUUUCUGGGGUAGGGGCGAAAUCCUUUGAUCCCAGGAGGACCACCAGUGGCGAAGGCUGCUCACUAGAACACGCCUGACGGUCAGGGACGAAAGCUGGGGCAGCGAACCGGAUUAGAUACCCGGGUAGUCCCAGCUGUAAACGAUGCUAGCUAGGUGUUGGGUCGGCCACGUGCCGCCCCAGUGCCGCAGGGAAGCCGUUAAGCUAGCCGCCUGGGGAGUACGGCCGCAAGGCUGAAACUUAAAG